AGUGAACGCUGGCGGUAGGCCUAACACAUGCAAGUCGAACGGUAGCACAGUAAGAGCUUGCUCUUACGGGUGGCGAGUGGCGGACGGGUGAGGAAUACAUCGGAAUCUACUUUUUCGUGGGGGAUAACGUAGGGAAACUUACGCUAAUACCGCAUACGACCUACGGGUGAAAGCAGGGGAUCUUCGGACCUUGCGCGAUUGAAUGAGCCGAUGUCGGAUUAGCUAGUUGGCGGGGUAAAGGCCCACCAAGGCGACGAUCCGUAGCUGGUCUGAGAGGAUGAUCAGCCACACUGGAACUGAGACACGGUCCAGACUCCUACGGGAGGCAGCAGUGGGGAAUAUUGGACAAUGGGCGAAAGCCUGAUCCAGCCAUACCGCGUGGGUGAAGAAGGCCUUCGGGUUGUAAAGCCCUUUUGUUGGGAAAGAAGAGCAGCAAGUUAAUACCCCGCUGUUCUGACGGUACCCAAAGAAUAAGCACCGGCUAACUUCGUG
This 492-nucleotide ribosomal RNA is filed under the name uncultured bacterium. RNAcentral's name for it is "partial 16S ribosomal RNA". It matches the Rfam family "Bacterial small subunit ribosomal RNA", at positions 29 to 507 of the family's 1533-position model. The record is from RNAcentral.